GAGCCUUUGCCCGUGUGGGUUUUCUGUGCUUGAUUAAAUCACAGUAUUUCCAAUGGCUCUGAAGCCAGAAAGGGCCAUUAACUCUUCUAGGUUGGCCACCUGCAUAGCACAGAUCCCUGACUCCCACCCAAUGCUUACUGCUUUGUGCGUGAAAGCUUCUGGAUAAGCUGAUUUCCUUGUCGAAGAUGUCUCAUCUUUGUACAAAUAUUGAUAGUGAUGGAAAACACUGUGCCUUGUGGCAAUCUGUCCAGGUGUCUAAGCACCCCUCGCUGCUUAGAAUCUGCCUCCCCAGCAUGCAUGCUGGUAUACCAAAAGAAAAUGACAGCACAAACCCCAGCCAAGCUCCUUGGAAAUGUAAAUAGGCCGGAACCACUGGUGUCCUCUUAACACAGCAUCAAUCACUGCUGGGUGCUGAAAAUGGCAACACGUUCGUUACGGUCCAGGCAACCAUCUCAGGCAGCAGAUGGAGAAGGUUUAAGACCUAGUAGCACUGUUUCAGAGACCAGCUCUGUAAUUAUCACAAGGCUCUGUGGCAUCAUUUGGAAACCCUGCAUAUACCCCUUACUCAUGCUGGCUCUUACCUGAGCUUCCUGUGCACCUGCAGUGAAGUAGUAGACAGUAAAGCAAGGCAAGUCCUUAGCUUCUGGUGGGGUCUUCUCCAGAAAAAUUGACCCAUUUACCUUCUCCAAGCAGACUGUUUUUCCAAAAAUAGUAGUCUUUGGAGGCUGUUGCUGCAGGUGAAGUGUUGCAGCUAGUGAUAUAUCCAUCAGCCACAAGAAUCGAAUUGAAUCGGAUCCAUCCAUACCGGGGGAUUCCCAAGCCACAGAGACUUCUCCCAGAAGACAGGGGAACACUGGGGACCAUGUUGGGCUGUCCAUUGGAAUGGUGGUGGUGUGAGAUGCUUUGUUCGGGUGAUGAAGUGUACGGUGGCUUUUAGCUGUAGUAUCUUCUGACCAAUGAAUACUGGCUUUACCAACCAAAGAGUAAGAUGGAGUAUGCUGCUGGUUUCAAGGCAAAGGGAGCAAUUCUUAUGAGGAGGAAGGACUGUAGUAAAAACUGUGUUGUGCUCUGAUUUGCCUUUCUUGAUGGCUCCCAUUAGGAAAUGAGCAUGGAUGUGACUUCUUGGGUGUGCCAUCUUUGUGGAGAAAAAGCAACGAUCACUCAUCAGUGGAUAGACAUACACGCGGCCUGUUUCAGAUCUCUCUUGGCCAGGUCUACAUGGCAAAUACCUCACUGCAUUGCUCUCUUGAUCAGCGGGUAGGUAAUAUGUGAUCCUGAUGGACACAAGAGGCUAGAAGACAACUAUUUGAAGGUUAUAUUGCAGCUGUAGUUAUACCAUAUAUAUACCAUAUAGCAACACCGCUUUCGGAGCUUGUUUUAUUUGAAUAGCUCUAGGGAUGAAUUUUGGUCUGUGUUCAGGACAACACGCUGUUUCAUUAUCCUGACUGCCUCAUGUAGGAGCAUGCCAAUUCUUGGAUGUCCUUGUGGGAUGUUUGUUUCUCAGCCAAUUUCUGUUCCAAAGCUUGCUUUUUCCAAGAACACCAGGUGGUUACUGAGUCACUGCUUUUCAGGUUACUGUCUCUUCCAUGCCAUGGAGCAGCCAGGGGGAUGUGAUGCAGCUGCCCAGAGGAGCUGCUGAGGAUUUGUAGUCACUGAAGGCUACUCUGUACUAGAGGAGAUUAAAAGCUGUGGUGGUGGUAAUGCAACUGAAGGAUCAAUCUAGCCUGAGUGGAACCACAGCUUGGAGCAGUGAAAGAUCUCUUGCCAGUGUAGAAGGAUAUUUGAACCACCUCUGUCUUUUUAAGAUGUUUAUCAUAUGUUGCCUCCAGGGAGGGUGGUU
This is a long non-coding RNA of Neopsephotus bourkii (Bourke's parrot), 1840 nucleotides long. RefSeq lists it as uncharacterized. The record is from RefSeq and is a predicted model, not a curated record. NCBI's taxonomy places the organism in Eukaryota, Metazoa, Chordata, Aves, Psittaciformes, Psittacidae. The transcript is spliced from 3 exons.